This is a non-coding RNA of Brachypodium distachyon (stiff brome), 108 nucleotides long. NCBI's taxonomy places the organism in Eukaryota, Viridiplantae, Streptophyta, Magnoliopsida, Poales, Poaceae. The record is from Rfam.
GUGUGUCUAUGAUGAUCUAAAAGCAUCGGUGAAUUCUGGAUGAAUGCGCUUGCGCACGAACAGUGUGCAGCUCUGGUGAUAUCCCUGCGUUAUUCAUCUGAGACACGC